GGACCUAUAGUCUAGUGGUAGGAUACUGCCUUCACAUGGCAGAGGCUUCAGUUCAAUUCUGAGUAGGUCCA
This 71-nucleotide transfer RNA is filed under the name Candidatus Woesearchaeota archaeon. Its description in RNAcentral is "tRNA-Val". It matches the Rfam family "tRNA". From Rfam's summary of the family: Transfer RNA (tRNA) molecules are approximately 80 nucleotides in length. The record is from RNAcentral. Lineage: Archaea; Nanobdellati; Candidatus Woesearchaeota.